Molecule: non-coding RNA, 494 nt
Organism: Mus caroli (Ryukyu mouse)
Lineage: Eukaryota; Metazoa; Chordata; Mammalia; Rodentia; Muridae
Source: the annotation of a RefSeq genome assembly
GCAGUGGGAGCAAGAUGGAUUCACAGGCCCAAGUUCUUAUGUUGCUGCUGCUAUGGGUAUCUGGUACCUGUGGGGACAUUGUGAUGUCACAGUCUCCAUCCUCCCUGGCUGUGUCAGCAGGAGAGAAGGUUACUCUGAGCUGCAAGUCCAGUCAGAGCCUUUUAUCUAGUAGCAAUCAAAAGAACUACUUGGCCUGGUACCAGCAGAAACCAGGGCAGUCUCCUAAACUGUUGAUCUACUGGGCAUCCACUAGGGAAUCUGGGGUCCCUGAUCGCUUCACAGGCAGUGGAUCUGGGACAGAUUUCACUCUCACCAUCAGCAGUGUGCAGUCUGAAGACCUGGCAGAUUAUUUCUGUCAGCAAGGUUACAGCUAUCCUCCCACAGUGCUUCAGCCUCCUACACAAACCUCCUUGAGAAUUUCACCAGCUGCCUGCAAAACACACAGUCCUUGGUCUGAACACUUCCUCUUUCUUCAUGAAAGCCAGCAUGCAUGA